GACGAACGCUGGCGGCGUGCCUAAUACAUGCAAGUUGAGCGCUGAAGGUUGGUACUUGUACCGACUGGAUGAGCAGCGAACGGGUGAGUAACGCGUGGGGAAUCUGCCUUUGAGCGGGGGACAACAUUUGGAAACGAAUGCUAAUACCGCAUAAAAACUUUAAACACAAGUUUUAAGUUUGAAAGAUGCAAUUGCAUCACUCAAAGAUGAUCCCGCGUUGUAUUAGCUAGUUGGUGAGGUAAAGGCUCACCAAGGCGAUGAUACAUAGCCGACCUGAGAGGGUGGUCGGCCACAUUGGGACUGAGACACGGCCCAAACUCCUACGGGAGGGAGCAGUAGGGAAUCUUCGGCAAUGGGCGAAAGUCUGACCGAGCAACGCCGCGUGAGUGAAGAAGGUUUUCGGAUCGUAAAACUCUGUUGGUAGAGAAGAACGUUGGUGAGAGUGGAAAGCUCAUCAAGUGACGGUAACUACCCAGAAAGGGACGGCUAACUACGUG
This 497-nucleotide ribosomal RNA is filed under the name uncultured bacterium. RNAcentral's name for it is "partial 16S ribosomal RNA". It matches the Rfam family "Bacterial small subunit ribosomal RNA", at positions 28 to 507 of the family's 1533-position model. The record is from RNAcentral.